CCUACGGGGGGCUGCAGUGGGGAAUAUUGCACAAUGGGCGCAAGCCUGAUGCAGCCAUGCCGCGUGUGUGAAGAAGGCCUUCGGGUUGUAAAGCACUUUCAGCGGGGAGGAAGGCGGUGAGGUUAAUAACCUCAUCGAUUGACGUUACCCGCAGAAGAAGCACCGGCUAACUCCGUGCCAGCAGCCGCGGUAAUACGGAGGGUGCAAGCGUUAAUCGGAAUUACUGGGCGUAAAGCGCACGCAGGCGGUCUGUCAAGUCGGAUGUGAAAUCCCCGGGCUCAACCUGGGAACUGCAUUCGAAACUGGCAGGCUAGAGUCUUGUAGAGGGGGGUAGAACUCCAGGUGUAGCGGUGAAAUGCGUAGAGAUCUGGAGGAAUACCGGUGGCGAAGGCGGCCCCCUGGACAAAGACUGACGCUCAGGUGCGAAAGCGUGGGGAGCAAACAGGAUUAAUACCCUUGUAGUC
This 464-nucleotide ribosomal RNA is filed under the name uncultured Klebsiella sp. RNAcentral's name for it is "bacterial SSU rRNA". It matches the Rfam family "Bacterial small subunit ribosomal RNA", at positions 338 to 795 of the family's 1533-position model. The record is from RNAcentral. Lineage: Bacteria; Pseudomonadati; Pseudomonadota; Gammaproteobacteria; Enterobacterales; Enterobacteriaceae.